Molecule: ribosomal RNA, 210 nt
Filed under: uncultured bacterium
Lineage: Bacteria
Description: partial 16S ribosomal RNA
Rfam family: Bacterial small subunit ribosomal RNA
Source: RNAcentral
AGCGCAGGCGGUUUCUUAAGUCUGAUGUGAAAGCCUUCGGCUUAACUGGAGAAGAGCAUCGGAAACUGGGAGACUUGAGUGCAGAAAAGGACAGUGGAACUCCAUGUGUAGCGGUGAAAUGCGUAGAUAUAUGGAAGAACACCAGUGGCGAAGGCGGCUGUCUGGUCUGUAACUGACGCUGAGGACUCGAAAGCGAUGGGUAAGCGAACA